UCCGUCUGUGUGACCGCGGAAGGACAUUACAGACCAGAAAACCCACCUCACGACGCUGCCUCGGCGCGCGGCGAGCGCCGGCGCCUUCCCCUCCUGCCCCCCCGCAGGCUGGCGGAAGGUCGCCCGGCCCGCCGCCGCCAGGCAGCCAAAAACGAGAACCCAUUGCCUGCCGCGCGUUACAAGCUCUGAUUUCAGUGGGAAGCGAGAAAAUGAAGAACAAAACUUUCAACAACGGAUCUCUUGGCUCCAGCAUCGAUGAAGAACGCAGCGAAACGCGAUAGCUAGUGUGAAUUGCAGAAUUCAGUGAAUCAUCGAGUCUUUGAACGCACAUUGCGCCUGGCGGACAUUCCGCCAGGCAUGCCCGUCCGAGCGUCAUUUUCACCAACCGCGGCCCCAGCGCCCGACGUUGGGCCAUCGCGACCUCCCGCGCGCCCCCCCACUGGGGGCGGGCUCGUGGGACGCGAGGCCUGGAACCCAGCGGCGGCGGCGCCCAGGGUCGCGUGCGCAGUAGAGAGGCUCCUGCCAAGCUCGCACGGCGCCACCCUGGAGGCCUGCCACAGCCCACAGAGCGCGCGAGGGAGGGGGAGG
This is a ribosomal RNA of 588 nucleotides. The stretch from base 221 to 375 matches the Rfam family "5.8S ribosomal RNA".